GACAGUUUGGCCGAGUGGUCUAAGGCGCUAGCUUCAGGCGUUAGUCCGCAAGGGCGCGGGUUCGAAUCUCGCAGCUGUCA
This 80-nucleotide transfer RNA is filed under the name Perkinsus olseni. It matches the Rfam family "tRNA". Rfam says of the family: Transfer RNA (tRNA) molecules are approximately 80 nucleotides in length. Their secondary structure includes four short double-helical elements and three loops (D, anti-codon, and T loops). Further hydrogen bonds mediate the characteristic L-shaped molecular structure. tRNAs have two regions of fundamental functional importance: the anti-codon, which is responsible for specific mRNA codon recognition, and the 3' end, to which the tRNAs corresponding amino acid is attached (by aminoacyl-tRNA synthetases). tRNAs cope with the degeneracy of the genetic code in two manners: having more than one tRNA (with a specific anti-codon) for a particular amino acid; and 'wobble' base-pairing, i.e. permitting non-standard base-pairing at the 3rd anti-codon position. Lineage: Eukaryota; Perkinsozoa; Perkinsida; Perkinsidae. The record is from Rfam by way of RNAcentral.